Molecule: transfer RNA, 85 nt
Filed under: Sphingomonas sp.
Lineage: Bacteria; Pseudomonadati; Pseudomonadota; Alphaproteobacteria; Sphingomonadales; Sphingomonadaceae
Description: tRNA-Leu
Rfam family: tRNA
About the family: Transfer RNA (tRNA) molecules are approximately 80 nucleotides in length. Their secondary structure includes four short double-helical elements and three loops (D, anti-codon, and T loops). Further hydrogen bonds mediate the characteristic L-shaped molecular structure. tRNAs have two regions of fundamental functional importance: the anti-codon, which is responsible for specific mRNA codon recognition, and the 3' end, to which the tRNAs corresponding amino acid is attached (by aminoacyl-tRNA synthetases). tRNAs cope with the degeneracy of the genetic code in two manners: having more than one tRNA (with a specific anti-codon) for a particular amino acid; and 'wobble' base-pairing, i.e. permitting non-standard base-pairing at the 3rd anti-codon position.
Source: RNAcentral
GCAGGUGUGGCGUAAUUGGUAGGCGCGAGGGACUUAAAAUCCCUUGAGGUAUCUCGUGCGGGUUCGAGUCCCGCCACCUGCACCA